GUUUAUGUAGUUUAAAAUAAAACAUUACAUUUUCAAUGUAAAAUUAAAUACAUUUUUCAUAAAUU
This 65-nucleotide transfer RNA is filed under the name Dascillus cervinus (orchid beetle). RNAcentral's name for it is "tRNA-Glu". It matches the Rfam family "tRNA". Rfam says of the family: Transfer RNA (tRNA) molecules are approximately 80 nucleotides in length. Their secondary structure includes four short double-helical elements and three loops (D, anti-codon, and T loops). Further hydrogen bonds mediate the characteristic L-shaped molecular structure. tRNAs have two regions of fundamental functional importance: the anti-codon, which is responsible for specific mRNA codon recognition, and the 3' end, to which the tRNAs corresponding amino acid is attached (by aminoacyl-tRNA synthetases). tRNAs cope with the degeneracy of the genetic code in two manners: having more than one tRNA (with a specific anti-codon) for a particular amino acid; and 'wobble' base-pairing, i.e. permitting non-standard base-pairing at the 3rd anti-codon position. The record is from RNAcentral. Lineage: Eukaryota; Metazoa; Arthropoda; Insecta; Coleoptera; Dascillidae.